This 484-nucleotide ribosomal RNA is filed under the name uncultured bacterium. RNAcentral describes it as "partial 16S ribosomal RNA". It matches the Rfam family "Bacterial small subunit ribosomal RNA", at positions 30 to 507 of the family's 1533-position model. The record is from RNAcentral.
AUUGAACGCUGGCGGCAUGCCUUACACAUGCAAGUCGAACGGCAGCGCGGAGCUCGGUCUGGCGGCGAGUGGCGCACGGGUGAGUAAUACAUCGGAAUGUACCCCGUUGUGGGGGAUAACUACUCGAAAGAUUAGCUAAUACCGCAUACGACCUGAGGGUGAAAGUGGGGGACCGUAAGACCUCACGCAGCAGGAGCGGCCGAUGUCUGAUUAGCUAGUUGGUGGGGUAAAGGCCCACCAAGGCGACGAUCAGUAGCUAGUCUGAGAGGACGAUCAGCCACACUAGGACUGAGACACGGCCCAGACUCCUACGGGAGGCAGCAGUGGGGAAUGUUGGACAAUGGGGGCAACCCUGAUCCAGCAAUGCCGCGUGUGUGAAGAAGGCCUUCGGGUUGUAAAGCACUUUUGUCCGGUAAGAAAUGGCGCUGGUUAAUACCUGGCGUGGGUGACGGUACCGGAAGAAUAAGCACCGGCUAACUACGUG